UCGAAGACGCUCGCGCGUUCAGCAAAAGACUUUGCGAAGAAGCAGCAAGCGUUUCGGGCCAC
Molecule: transfer RNA, 62 nt
Filed under: Pelagomonas calceolata
Lineage: Eukaryota; Pelagophyceae; Pelagomonadales; Pelagomonadaceae
Source: RNAcentral